GUGCCUUUUGUUUGUGGAGCACAUGGUGGGUACGAGAUGUUGUCAAGGGCUUCGUGAAGGUGCUUCUGGUCGACUCCUACCGGCAUGAAGCGAGCGUCAGACGUCACACGUCUCAGUUCCUGCAUUAGCUGAGACGGUAUAAUCACAAAGAAGGGAAAGAAAGACGAAGAAAAGCGCAAAUAAACCUGAAGGAUUCAUGUCGGCGCUGCUUUCACUGGAUGGAGGGAGCUGAGAGAGAAGAAGAACUUCCACACAGACGUUUAUUGAUGAAGCAGCUGAUAACAGAUCACUUGGUUUGGUGAUUUGGUGUGAAGAAACAGGAAGGAGUUUCCGAACGCAUUCAGCUUCCUGAAGGGCUUCUUGGGGUCGACCACCAGGGCGUUGCCAGGGACGACGCCCUCGUUCUCGCCG
Long non-coding RNA from Thunnus maccoyii (southern bluefin tuna), 411 nucleotides. RefSeq lists it as uncharacterized. The transcript has 3 exons. The record is from RefSeq and is a predicted model, not a curated record. NCBI's taxonomy places the organism in Eukaryota, Metazoa, Chordata, Actinopteri, Scombriformes, Scombridae.